RNAcentral lists this transfer RNA (72 nucleotides) under Camelus bactrianus (Bactrian camel). It matches the Rfam family "tRNA". From Rfam's summary of the family: Transfer RNA (tRNA) molecules are approximately 80 nucleotides in length. Their secondary structure includes four short double-helical elements and three loops (D, anti-codon, and T loops). RNAcentral also lists the same sequence under 2 other names. The record is from Rfam by way of RNAcentral. Lineage: Eukaryota; Metazoa; Chordata; Mammalia; Artiodactyla; Camelidae.
GAAGAUAUAGCUCAGUGGUAGAGUGCAUGCUUAGCAUGCACGAGGUCCUGGAUUCAAUCCCUACUACCUCCA